This 70-nucleotide transfer RNA is filed under the name Camelus dromedarius (Arabian camel). It matches the Rfam family "tRNA". From Rfam's summary of the family: Transfer RNA (tRNA) molecules are approximately 80 nucleotides in length. Their secondary structure includes four short double-helical elements and three loops (D, anti-codon, and T loops). The record is from Rfam by way of RNAcentral. RNAcentral also lists the same sequence under 1 other name. Lineage: Eukaryota; Metazoa; Chordata; Mammalia; Artiodactyla; Camelidae.
GAGGAUAGCUCAGUGGUAGAGCACAUGCCUAGCCUGCAAACGGUCCUGGGUUCAAUCCCCAGUAACUUCA